UACGUAGGUCGCGAGCGUUAUCCGGAAUUAUUGGGCGUAAAGCGUCCGUAGGCGUCCCAACAAGUCUGAUGUUAAAUCUGAGGGCUCAACCCUCAGUUCGUAUCGGAAACUAUUGGGAUCGAGGUGUGCAGGGGCAGAUGGAAUUCCAGAAGUAGGGGUAAAAUCCGUAGAUCUCUGGAGGAACACCAAACGCGAAGGCAUUCUGCUGGGCACUACCUGACGCUGAGGGACGAAAGCGUGGGGAGCAAACGGG
This 253-nucleotide unclassified non-coding RNA is filed under the name uncultured Candidatus Altimarinota bacterium. Its description in RNAcentral is "uncultured Candidatus Gracilibacteria bacterium contains 16S-23S intergenic spacer region". It matches the Rfam family "Bacterial small subunit ribosomal RNA", at positions 524 to 776 of the family's 1533-position model. The record is from RNAcentral. Lineage: Bacteria; Candidatus Altimarinota.